GAGGGGUUAGUGGGGCAACCAGGUGUUGGGACUCUCUCUACAGAGGGGUAGCACAUGGUCAUCACACUAGCCACAGGAGAGAUACUAAAUCACUUGACGCAAAUCCCCUGCUGCCUUGACUCUCACAAGCCACAGCCUCCGCCGAUCGUCCCGCAUCCAAACGACAUCUCUCCACUAAGGUCAGGCAGCUAAGCGGACAACUAUGUCUGAAGGGUAAGUGUGUG
Molecule: long non-coding RNA, 224 nt
Organism: Sardina pilchardus (European sardine)
Lineage: Eukaryota; Metazoa; Chordata; Actinopteri; Clupeiformes; Clupeidae
Exons: 3
Source: RefSeq, a predicted model, not a curated record